UAAGCAGUUGCAAAUGAUGGCACACAUGUAGAAAUACCUCUCAUGGUAAAUACUGCCUUGGGCACAACCUAGUCAGCAUGAAGCAGCAGCCUCCAAAUAGUUUGAAAUUAUAGUACUGGGCAGAGCAGAUUACAGCAACCCAACAGACAGGAGAGGUGAGGUUCCUCCAUCCAAAAUGGGAUGAUGCAACCUCCCAGUCAAGCACAACUGAGAAGAUAAAACAGUUUUGGAAACCACUGUUAUUCCUUUCCAGCCACCUGAGACCCAGAAGCCUUAAGGACCGUUGUGGUCAGGACGUACUGAUGUGGACAUCUGACUUUUAUGAUAGUGUCUCGGAGGCAGCAGCAUCACAGUUGCACGGGAAAGGAAAGCGGUCUGUCCUUCGCAUACCUGGAUUGCUUUAAGAACAUGCCAUAAAGCAGGCUGGUAUAACGCUUCUUCCUCCACCUCUGCCUGUAGGCUCUACAAGGAGCACAUCAGAACUGCUGGUUUUGCUUUGGACUGCAAGAUGUUUGGAAAGCCACAUGCUUUUUCUGAAGGCGGCUCUGUCCCCUCCGUGCCAGCCUCAGCUGCUGCGUUCACUUUCGCCCAGAAUGCCGGAUCCUGUCCACGAUGAGCCAGAGCAGAGGAGAGCGUCAGCUUGGGACUGACCAAACAGCACUGGCUUUCAUGUAAUCACAGCCAAAUUCUUCCUGGCAGCCACAUGGACAGCCUUUCCAGCAGAGAUGGCUGGCGCUUUUCUACCUUGCUCGCCUCUGAACCCACAGAUAAUCCUGUCCGAGGAGCGAGCGAGGGAGGGUGAUCUGGAGAUGUGCCCAUCGUGCCGUUCCUCCCACCCAGGGGAGUUCAUGGCUCUUCCUGGCAGCAGUAUUGCCCGUGGAGGGAAUAUAACGGGGGGGGAGGCCACACACCACCCCUUCUGGAAGAGGAAGCGAUCUUCAGCAACAGUCCUGUUCUAUAGGUCUCCCCGUCCAGAAAUGGGGGUAACGCCUGGCUGCUCACUGACCUGUUAGAACACGGCAGUCAUGAACGGUUGCUAAAUGUUGCAGUUGGAGAAAUUUAUUAUUAGUUACUGCAUUUCAUAGGACAUUUUUUCAUAAGUCCCUGAAAUCUAAACUAACACAGAAAACACAGGACUAGUUGUACAGAUCUGUACAACAUUACCUCUGGCUGCACGGCUGCGCCCUCCUUUCAGUCCAGGAGGAGCGAGAGCCGAGUUUUUGACGCAGGCUCAAUUUCUGUCUUGCAGGGAAAAUCCUGAAGCACAUAAUCUGAUCUCCCCAGCUAAAACUUCUCCUGGACGACCUGUCCUGCUCACAGCAGUACUGCAGGCAGGAGAGAGGACACAGGGCACAGGAGCUGCCCGGGGUUCCCGCACAUGAGCUGAAGCCACCCAAGGGCAGGCAGGGAGGUCUUCUGCCUGCGCAGGGACAACAAAUGGCCCAGGCGGAAAAAGGGCAACUGGACGCGAUGAGCGGAGGCAGAGCAGCUGGGGUGGACCAAGAACUCUAAGUCCAGCCCAGCGGCAGCCAGGGGCUGUCCUCGGCACGCAGCAAUUCGUGGCCAGGGACAAGUGGGGUGAUGGCAGCACUCCUCGUUACAUGGGGCAGACGUGCUCGAAGGCACAGGACGCAUCCUCUGCAGGAUGGAGGUCCCUCUGCAUCCAGUGAUUGCUCCCAAGAUUGGGUCACUUGCCCCCAUGGUAACCCCGAAGGGACUAGUCCAGCCCAGGGAGGCAGUAAGGAGAGGUGGCAGGCUUGUUAUCACUGGGAAAUCAACAAGUGGUUUGAACAGUUUUUUGGGAGGGCAGAAAACUCCUGAGGGUCACUGGUGCUGAUGACAAACAGCAGCUUGACCAUGAAGACCAUAAGCAGACGCGUGCUACUGGGAGCGCUGCCUUUCCUCGCUUCCCACCAGCACCUCACUCUGCCUCACUUUUGCUGCCUUGGCCUGAAGAGCCCCUGUAAAUGUGACCUGUCUCUUGGAGCUUGUUAUUCCGUGCUUUAUUUGCAUCACACUGGAUCUGUCCAGGUGAUUAAACAAAAGACAUCUUUUUAUUAUUGUUGUUUUUACUGUGCAAUUGCUAUGUCCUUUAUUAGGGCUUUGCUUUUCCUGUGAGGAAUAAUCUCUGGAAACUUGGAUAGGAUCCUUUGGCUCACACUAGAAAAGGGAAAAUUUCUUCCUAACCUGCCAGCUUUCCUCCUGUCCAGCAGAUCUGGGCAUUUAAGAGGCUGUGACCAAGUGCUCAGAGGGCUCCACAAACCUUACUUCUGCUCCCCACCGCACUUCUGACUCUCCCUACAGUUACAAAGAAGUCACUUAUUUCCUCAUUGCUCCAGGUUCUCCAUCUGCCACCUUAUGAUAUAAUAUUUACUUACCUUUCCAAGGCAUUUUAAAUCUCCGUAGGAAUGCAUUAUAAAAGUGCAUUAGUGUUAUUACUAUUCUCCGUUGUGUAACUUUGAGAAAUGGCUUACGUAAGGCUGGCUCCUCUGUCCCCUCUCUGACCCCCAUCCAUUGUCCCGGUGCUGCUGCCUCCUCCCGUGACAGCAAUAAUUAAGCUCCGAUUUCCCAGUAUCCCCCUCAGGCUCCUACCCAGACCUUGGGGAAUAACCAUCCAGUCCCCUCUGCAUCGGUCCAGGGAACGGCAGCUUUGGAUUCAAAGGUCCCGCUGCUUCUCUCUCCAUGCCCCUGUUGAACAUGCCUGCAUUGGAAUGUCCCAAUAUAUGUUUUUGGAGGCUCCGGAAUGACUUGUAUGAUCUCAAAGCCCCUUUUCCUAGCGUCUCUAA
Molecule: long non-coding RNA, 2786 nt
Organism: Harpia harpyja (harpy eagle)
Lineage: Eukaryota; Metazoa; Chordata; Aves; Accipitriformes; Accipitridae
Exons: 3
Source: RefSeq, a predicted model, not a curated record